Molecule: non-coding RNA, 72 nt
Organism: Aedes aegypti (yellow fever mosquito)
Lineage: Eukaryota; Metazoa; Arthropoda; Insecta; Diptera; Culicidae
Source: Rfam
GGCUCGGUAGCUUAGUUGGUAAAGCACUCGUCUAUUAUACUAGAGUCGUGGGUUCGAAUCUCACUUGAGCAA